GAGGCCUGGGACGGCAUAGCACACUGGCAGAAGUGACGUGUAGGUGCGUUCUUCUGCGGCCGGGUAAAAGGUCAGAAUAGCAGAUUUGAUGUGACAGAAGGGAUGACUGGGUUAGGCAAGGUUAGUGGGUGGGCGAGUGGUCUGGGCAAACUCUGGAUAGUCUCUUAAUGCCUAGAGGGACGGGCAGUCCUUCAGCCAUGGGUCCCCAGAGGUUUCCUCCACAAGGGGGUUUUUCCUCUCCUGAGUGCUGAAGGAUGACUUCAUGAGUCAUGAGGCUUAUGUCAUCUUGUUCCUCUUAUAGGACAAGUUUGUAAGAUUACUGGACCAAUCUUAGUCCGAAAUUGCCUAUUUUAUUAUGCAGAGUAAACAAUAAUAAUAAUUACAAAUAAUAGUAAUAAUAAGAAGACAAAGAAGAAGAGGAAGAAGAAGAAAAAACAGGCAGCAUUUUACUUAAAAUAAAAAAGACAUUUAUUUUUUAAA
This is a long non-coding RNA of Pseudophryne corroboree (corroboree frog), 480 nucleotides long. RefSeq lists it as uncharacterized. NCBI's taxonomy places the organism in Eukaryota, Metazoa, Chordata, Amphibia, Anura, Myobatrachidae. The record is from RefSeq and is a predicted model, not a curated record. The transcript has 2 exons.